Molecule: long non-coding RNA, 8037 nt
Filed under: Elaeis guineensis (African oil palm)
Lineage: Eukaryota; Viridiplantae; Streptophyta; Magnoliopsida; Arecales; Arecaceae
Description: long non-coding RNA (EGUI_LNC030819)
Source: RNAcentral
GAGGCAGUGAUGAGGAACAGAGAUCUUGGUGUGAUAUGGUGUGGAGAUCAUUCUUUCUUGCUACGAUGUUUGGGCCUUGUAGCAACUCUUUCUUGGCAAUGGUGGGGGGGCUGCUUGGAAGGUCUGAUGCUCCGCAGGCAACUGCUGCAGCCACCAGCUGUAUAGAAGAGUGCAGAGAUGAGGAAGAAUGUGGGAUCUCCUUCUCCAUAACGACGGAUCAAAAGGCAACUCUGAGCCUCACUCCCUCCUUUCUCUUUCUUUAUUCGAGAUAUGUCCCCAUUCUUUUGCUCAUUUUCCUUCACCAUUCUAUUUAAUUUUCUACAAAAUUUUUAUUCUCAUAUAUUUGCAGCUCAGGUGAUAUGUAACUGCUGGAUCAUAUGCUGAUUAUUGCUGCAACCUUUGCUACCUGUAUGUAUGUAUGAGUCAUUUCUCUUUUUCAUCUUUAUUGGUGAGAUACUGCAGACUAGGCAAGGUUGUUCUAGACAUAGUGGCCAAGAUUUGCUAGGUAGUUACAAUGAUGAGGUCUUCCUCCAUGGUCCGUCGGCCCUUCCUUACCUCAGCCUCUUGGCUGCCGUUUAUCCUUUUGUUCGUGGUGUUAGCUUCUUUUUUCAAUGGAAGAGAAUUCUUCUGAUCCAUCCAUUUCGUUUCUUCCCCAAAUCCUACAAAAAACCCAAACCAGAACCUGAGAAAUCUCCCUCAGGUGCUAUCCUUCAAAGAUCUCCAAAAAAAGAGAAUGAAAUGAAAAGAAAAAGAACCGAAAAGAAAAAGAAUGAUCAAUGUAUGUUGGAAAUCGUCUUACCUUCUCAUUUUUUUUGUCUUUCCUUUGUUUUCAUUGACUUUUCCUAUGUUUUCCCUUGGUCUUUCCUCUGUUUUUUCCAUCCUUAGGAGUCUGAAUCGGGUGGGAGGCUUAGAGCGGCUAAAUAGGGAAGCUUAGACGAUGGCUAGGGUUUUGUGUGGGGUAUUUAUAUAUAAGAGUUUAAAGGGUAUAGAUAUAUUUUCUGUUUUUAGAGGCUGUGAUGAGUUGCGCUUGGAUCUGAAGCUUCAGAUGCUGAAAUUCUGUGCUGCCGCUGGACAAUAUUUGUUCCAAAGCAUUCUCUCUCUCUCUCUCNNNNNNNNNNNNNNNNNNNNUCUCUCUCUCUCUCUCUCUCUCUCUCUCUCUCUCUCACACACACACACACACACACACACGCACGUGUAUGUGCACAUAGUUAAUCUUUCUCCUCCAAUACCUAAUAAUACCUGCCAACCAGUAGGUGAAGUACUUUUUUAAAUUAGUCGUGCAUCUCAAAUGCCUACUGGUUUGCCCUAUUUGAACAGGUUUGGCCAACUUGGAUGGCCUGCUAUUGUGCGGGCAACCAUUGUUGCCAGUAGCAACCUCAUCCAAUGUCUGAGAAAUGCGCAAAACUGAGCCUACCUUUUUUCCAACUUAACUAUUGUUCUGUCAUUCUUUUUUUUUUUUUGAAAGAAAAGGUAUUAUCAGCCUUUUAAAGAAGAGGAAGAGCUGACAUAACAUGGAUGAAUAUGAUGGACGUAGAAUAACUUGGAAUAGCAUCAGAGGGAGCCCUAAAUAAAAAUAAUUGGUGAAUGAGGAUUAAUAAAAUUGACCUCAAAUAUAUAGAAAAAACUGAAGCUCUACUGCCAAUAGCAAUCUCAAAUAUGGUCUAAAUAGUUAUGGCGAGUACCAUCAACUUGCUCCUUUCUUCUUGGUUCUCUCUAGAUUUUAUUCUUUGGUUAUCUAGGCCUUUUCUUCAGGGAGUUCCAGUUUCACCAUUCUUCCCCUGCUUCGAUAUAUUCCAUACCUAUUACUUAGUAGGUCUUAAUAUUGUGAUACUUGAUAGACGUUAAGAUAUGAAGCUUUAUGUGUGCUUCUUGGCUUGCUUUAUGCAGGCAACUGCAAGUUACAAAAAUUCUAUAUUAUUAUACUAUUAUAUUAUAAUAUUAUAAUAUUCAAAAUAAAUAAUUUGUGAAGUAAUAAUUAAUAAUAAUAGUUCUUGAUAUUAUAAAGAGUUAAAAAAUUGAAAGCACUAUGCAAUAUCUUUUAUCAUCUUUUCUCAUACUAAAAAUACUUUGUCGGUGUGGUUAACAAAAAAAUGUUAAAGUUCCAUAGCACUUUAGAAAUGUAGUUAUCAAACAGCAAAAAGCUUUUUGUUAAAAGCUCAACUAGCAAAAACUCUACUUUCAAAAGGUCUGCAAAUAAAAGUUGAGGCUUCAGGAAGAGGCAGUGGAAGUGCUGAUGGCUUUAUUCUCACAGAAGAUGCCCCCUUCUGCUCCUCUACCAAGCCAAUGAUCCUGAAUCCUCCCCAUUCUCUUGGUCUGUGUUUGUGUCUGUUUUGAAGAGGCGGUGGUGAGGAACGAAGCUCUUUGUGUGAUGGGUAUAGAGCUCACUUUCUUGCUAUGAUGGUUGGGCCACAUAGCAUUACUCUUUAUUGGCAGCAGUUAGGGGUGGCAAUCGGGUUGGGUCGGGUCAUAAACGGGUCGGGUCAAUACAGGUCGGGUCAGAAAAUCGUCAACCCAAAUCCGACCUGUUUAUUAAACAGGUCAAGAAUUCAAAUCUAAACCGGACCUGUUUAUUAAACAGGUAACCCGAUCCGACCUGUUUAACUCGUUUAUUAAAUAGGUCAAAUUAGGUUAAAUGGGUUAAACAGGUUAAACAGAUUGGAUUAAAUGGGUCAGAAAUAUGUUAAAUAGGUUUUAAACAGGUUAAACGGGUCUUAAAUGGAUUAAACAGGUUAAACAGGUUGGGUUAAAUGGGUCAGAAAUAGGUUAAACAGGUUAAAUGGGUUAUUUGACUCAAUCCAAUCUGAAUAUUAAACGGUUUAAACGGAUUAAACGGAUUAGAUAUUUAAAACUCAAAUCUGACCCACUUAUUAAACGGGUUAAACGGAUUGACUGGUUUAUGACCCAAACCUAUUUAGCCUAAAUCCAAACCUAUUUAUGGCGGGUCGAACACGGGUCGGGUUGGCUGGUCGGGUCAUAUUUGCCAGCCCUAGCAGCAGUGGUAGGGCAGCUCGGAAUGUCUGAUGCUCUGCAACCACCAGCUGUAUAGAGGAGUAGAGAUGAGGAAGAAAGGGGGUUCUCCCUCUCCCUCUGUAUCAUGGUCAAAGGUGAUUCUGAGUCUCUCUCCCUUCUCUUUCUUUAUCCAAGGUAUGCCCCUGUCCUUAUGGCUUUUGCUUUUUUCCCUUCACAUUCUAUUUAAUUUUCUACAAAAAAUCUAAUUUUCAAUGUUUCAACUGCUUAAAUUUGAAGUUAUUUUUAGAAGAUUGAAUUCCUUCUUUGACAUUAUGGUUUUGGCAAUUUUGGGGAUUUUGCAUUAAAAAAAUCCACUUAAUUAUUAUUUUCACCUCUCCUCCAAUUGCUUGCCCUUGGAGAAGAGGGUUCAUCUGGGGUAUCAUUUAUUUUCUAUAAAAAAAUCCGAAUGUUAACUCAAUUUCGGCCACUCAGUUUCACGUUCCUUUGCUCUCAUCCACCAUGGAUCACCGAUUGCACAGCUUUUAAAACACUCCGAACUCCAUCAUUCGUCUACCAGCAUAGAUCUGAAAGAAGCAAUGGAUGAUCUAAUGAUGGACUCUCAUGAAGGAAGAUGAAUCCUCUUCUGCAUGAAAGAUACAAACUCGAUCAUGAGGCUUUAGGAACAGGCAGUGCAGGGGCUGGUGGCUUUAUUCUCUCGGAAGCUGCCACCUUUUGCUCUUCUCCCAAGCUGGGGAUUCUUAUUCCUCUGUAUUCUCUCUCUCUCUGAUGCGGGACAAUCCUAAAGGAGAGAGAAAAAGAAAAUCAAUCCUAAUGAUCAAGCUCUCUUCUGUUCAUCAACAACAAAUCACGUCCGGUCAGGGGCUCAUUAUUCUCAGGAUAGACAGUAUAGUUGCCUAUACUCUGCUCAAGAAGCGUGAUUGAUUGAUACGAGACUAAAGCGAGAUCAAUCUAAAUGAUACAGACGAAUGCCAUUCGAGAGAUCAGUAAACAACUAGCAAUAGAGAAUUUCAUAAACAGAUAGCAGAAAUUAAACAUGCUCACGAGUAAAUGCAAAAAGAAAUAUGAAUGGAACGAGAGAAAAUAAAAUAUUAAAUCCGUGAGAAAAAUCCAAGAAGAUGAUAAGAAUCCGGAUCGUGGUAGUUAAGAAAUUACUCUGAUUAGGGCUCUUAAUCUUUUAACCAAACAGAUCCAUCGAUAAAGAACUAGGUCUUUACCAACAUCGGAUUAAAAAAAAAAUCAAAGAUCAACUGUUAAGGAACGAAGGUCUUUGACAGCAUAUGAUCUGUAGAAUAAGAAAGCACUCCCUCUCAGCACGAUAGAUGAAAAUUCUGGAGGAGACAGAUCUUCUCUUGGCAGAAUAGGCUUGCGUGGGUAGAUGGAGUCGAAUCAGAGUCGCAGGAACACUGGAUCUUAAGUAGGAGUANNNNNNNNNNNNNNNNNNNNCCUUGUGGGGCGAUUUUGGGUCUCACACCCUCUUCCUCUCGGAGCGAUUAACACAAGUAUUUGUGGAGUUUGUAAAAUUAUUCAUUGUCCUUUUCAUGAAAGAUACAAGGAUUUAUAUAGGACUCUAAGGGUUCUGUUUCUUUAGGAAUCUCUUACCUUUUACAAGGAAGAAAUCAGUCCUCCACAAAAAAGUAAAGCAUUAUAUGUGAUAAAAUAAUCUACCAUGGAAAAGAAAUCAGCUCUCAACAAAAUAAGUAAGUAGCCAAGAACUCUUAAGAAAUUCUAGGGAAGAAAUGGAACUCCAUGUGGGUGCUUGAUGUUUGACACAACUAGGCAUGAGUACGGCACACGCUGGCAUGCAUAUUUCUUUUCUUGGCAUGUGGAGAGUGGUGGCUCCAAAGGUGACGUGGACAAAUCCAAGUAUGGUCCUAUAGACCCAAAGCUAAAUGCAUUAAAAAUUUAUUGACUGAAAAUAAAUAACUGAAGUAGAAUCAAUCUAAUGAGGCUUCUUCGAUCCAAAUCGAAUUUAAAUCAUGUUGCCUAUUUUUGAUGGCUCUGGUGUCCGCACUACUCUCUCUCUCUCUAUAUAUAUAUGUAUAUAUAUAUAUAUAUGUCUGUGUGCGUGCGUGCGUGCGCAUGUGUGCAUCUUGUGAAGAGGCAGUGAUGAGGAACCAAGAUCUUUGUGUGAUAUAGAGUAGAGCUCAUUCUUUCUUACUACGAUGUUAUGGCCCUGUAGCAACUCUUUCUUUGCAAUGGUGGUGGGACAGCUUGGAAGGUCUGAUGCUCUGUGGGCAACCGCUACAGCCACCAGCCGUUUGGAAGAGUGCAGAUAUGAGGAAGAAGGUGGGAUCUCCUUCUCUCUCUGUGCCAUAAUGAUGGAUCAAAGGCAACUCUGAGCCUCACUCCCUCCCUCUUUCUUUAUCCAAGAUAUGUCCCUGCUCUUUUGCCCAUUUUCCUUCCCAUCUAUUCAAUUUUCUAUGAAAUUUUUAGUCUCAUAUAUUUGCAGCUCAGGUGAUAUGCAACUGCUGGAUCAUAUGCUGAUUAUUCCUGUAGCCUUUGCUGCCUGUAUGUACGAGCCAUUUCUCUUUUUCAUCUUAGUUGUGAGAUUCCUGCAGACCAGGCAAGGUCGUUCAAGACAUACUGACCAAGGUUUGCUAUGUAGUUACCAUGAUGAGGUCUUCCUCCAUGGUCCAUCAGCCUUUCCUCACCUCAGCCUCUUGUUUGCCAUUUUAUCCUUUUGUUUACUUUUGUUUAUGGUGUUAGUAUCUUUCUGAUGGAAGAGAAUUCUUCUGAUCCAUCCAUUUAGUUUCUUCCCCAAACCCCACAAAAUUUCAUGUUUCCACCAAGAUUAAGCUCUCAAAACUUUAAGGGACCAACUCACACCACCACAACUUGCACAAAAUCCCAUAUGCUUGAGAAAAAACCCAAACCGGAACGGCCCCUCCGAUCUCCCUCGGGUGCUCUCCUUCCCAGAUCUCCAAAAAAGAGAAUGAAAUGAAAGGAAAAAGAACUGAAAAGAAAAAAAAUGAUCAAUCUAUGUGGGAAAAGGUCUUACCUUUCAAUUUUUUCCGUCUUUCCUAUGUUUUCCCCCGGCUUUUCCUGUUUUUUCCAUCUUCAGGAAUCUGAAUCUGGCGGGAGGCUUGGAGCAGCUGAAUAAGGGAAGCUUAGACUAUGGCUAGGGUUUUGUGUUGGGUAUUUAUAUAUAAGAGUUUAAAGGGUAUAUAUAUAUUUUCUGUUUUUAGAGGCUGUGAUGAGUUGCGAUUGUAUCUUAUGCUUCAGAUGCUGAAAUUCUGUGCUGUUGCUGGACAAUAUUUGUCCCAAAGCACUCUCUCUCUCUCUCUCACACACACACACUCACACACACACAGUUAAUCUUUCUCCUCUGAUACCUAAUAAUAUCUGCCAUCCGGUAGGUGCACUUUUUUAAAUUAGUCAUGCAUCUCAAAUGCCAACCGGUUUGCCUUAUUUGAACAGGUUUCGCCAACUUGGAUGGCCUGCUAUUGUGCAAGCAACCAUUGCUGCCUGUAAGCAACCUCAUCCAAUGUCUGAUAAAUGCGCAAAACUGAGCCUCCCUUUUUUCCAACUUAACUACUGUUCUGUCGUUCGUUUUUUUUUUAAUAAAUAAAAGAUAUUAUCAGCCUUUUAAAGAAGAGGAAGAGUUGACGUAACUUGGAUAAAUAUGACGAAGGACAUGGAGUAACCUGGAAUAGCAUCAGAGGUAGCCCUAAAUAAGAAUAAUUGGUGAAUGAGGAUUAAUAAAACCAACCUCAAAUAUACAGAAAAAACUAAAGCUCUAGUGCCCACAGCAGCAAUCCCAAACAUGGUCUAAAUAUUUAUGAUAAGUACUAUCAACUUGUUUUUUUCUUCUUGGUUCUCUCUAGAUUUUAUUCUUUGGUUAACUAGGCCCUUUCUCGAGGGGUUGCAUUGUCACUAUUCUUCCCCCGCUUCCAUAUAUUCCAUAUGUAUUGCUCAAUGGAUCUUAAGAUUGUGAAACUUGAUAGAUGUUAAGAUAUGAAGCUAUAUGUGUGCUUCUUGGCUUGCUUUAUGCAGGUAACUGCAAGAUACAAAAUUUCUAUAAUAUUAUACUAUUAUAUUAUAAUAUUAUACUAUUUAAAAUAAAUAAUUUGUAAAUUAAGAAUUAAUAAUAAUAGUUCCGGAUAUCAUAAAGAGUUAAAAAAAAUUGAAAGCACUAUACAUAUCUUUUAUCGUCAUUUCUCAUACUAAAAAAGUACUUUGCCGGUAUGGUUAACAAAAAGAUGUUAAAGUUCUAUGGCACUUUAGAAAUGUAGUUACCAAACAGCAAAGAGCUUUUUGUUAAAAAAUCCGAAUGUUAACUCAGUUUCACCUUCCUUUGCUCUCAUCCACCAUGGAUCACCUGUUGCACAGCUUUUAAAGCACUCCAAACUCCGUCAUUCAUCUGCCUGCAUAGAUCUGAAAGAAAGCAAUGGAUGGUCCGAUGAUGGACUCUCAUGAAGGAAGAUGAAUCCUUCUUUCGUGUGAAAGAUACAAACUUGAUCCUGAAGCUUUGGGAAGAGGCAGUGCAGGGGCUGGUGGCUUUAUUCUCUCUGAAGCUGCCCCCUUUUGCUCCUCUCCCAAGCUGUGGAUUCUUAUUCCUCUGCAUUCUCUCUCUCUCUCUCUCUCUCUCUCUCUCUCNNNNNNNNNNNNNNNNNNNNNNNNNNNNNNNNNNNNNNNNNNNNNNNNNNNNNNNNNNNNNNNNNNNNNNNNNNNNNNNNNNNNNNNNNNNNNNNNNNNNNNNNNNNNNNNNNNNNCUCUCUCUCUCUCUCUCUCUCUCUCUCUCUCUCUCUCUAUAUAUAUAUAUAUAUAUAUAUAUAUAUAUAUAUAUAUAUAUAUAUAUAUAUGUACACACACACAUGCGCACACACACACACACACAUGCACACGUAUGUCUGUGUGUGUGCGUGCAUGCCUCUUUUGAAGAGGCAGUGAUGAGGAACCAAUAUCUUUGUGUGAUAUGGAGUAGAGCUCAUUCUUUCUUGGUAUGAUAUUUGGGCCCUGUAGCAACUCUUUCUUUGCAAUGGUGGUGGGGCAGCUUGGAAGGUCUGAUUCUCUGCAGGCAACCGCUGCAGCCACCAGCUGUUUAGAAGAGUGCAGAGAUGAGGAAGA